Non-coding RNA from Arachis ipaensis, 1359 nucleotides. The record is from RefSeq and is a predicted model, not a curated record. Lineage: Eukaryota; Viridiplantae; Streptophyta; Magnoliopsida; Fabales; Fabaceae.
AUUCAGAAAUUCCAUGCCCUCCCUCUCUAAACCCGCUCUCUCAUCCCCGCUCUCACCCCCUUCGCAUCUGAAUAGAAUGAACUGAAAAAAGAAAAUUUAUGGAAAGCGUAUACAAGCGGUGGACUAGCGGAGGCGGCAGCGAGUAUGAAACUGGCAGUAAUUCAAUGGCGAAGAUGGAGGAACAGCCGUCGUGAGGGUGGCUGGGUGCCUCUCUCUCUCCCCUUGCUAUUGCCACACACCCCAGCCAUCUUGCACACCUUCGUCUUUAUCUUUCCCUUCACGAUGGCACGGCCCUCAGCGCCCUUUUUGGCUCUGCAUCGCGCGCCGUCGUCACGUUGGGCAAUUCUUCCGAUAUGGAUGUCGUCGUCUUCGUCAACUAUUUUGGGUGAUUCAGGUAGGUUGGUUCCUAAAUCAGCAUGAAUGAGGGAUCUUUGGGCGGCGGGAAGUUUCAGCGAGAAUGUAAUUUUGAUUUGAAUGUCGAGGUGUGCGAAGAUGUAAGGAAACCUGCGGCAAUGUUGCCAAUGGGAAUGAUAUUUAUGAGGCAAAUGUCAUAUCGGGUAAGAUGGGUCAACUCCAAAGAGACAUGACAAAUCUUAAUCAAAGAUCUAUGGAAGUUGAUGAUGUUCGUAGUGAUUUGAAUGAGGUUUUCAAAGAUUCCACACCAAAGGAUGUUCCUGUAAUAUCUGGUCAUGAGGAGUCCAAAAUUUUUCAAGCAAAGUUGCAAUUACCCUCUUCUUCCCAAGAUUUAAAUUCAGAUGAUGUUUCUGUUCUUGAAGUCUUUUCUAUUUAUGCUUGUUUAAGGUUAUUCAAUACUUUAUUAUUUUUGAGUCCAUUUAAGUUGGAGGAUCUUGUAGUUGCUUUGAAGUCCAAAAUCCUAAGUAUAUUAUUUGAUAGCAUUCAUGUUUCUAUUUUGAAAACUCUGAAAAAGCAUUUGGAAUACCUUUCCAACGAGGAUAUUCAAUCUGCAUCUGAUUGUCUGAGGUAUAUAUAAUUUGAAUUUUUCUAUUAUCAUACUUGUCAAUAUGCUUUAAUUGUGUUAUCUGCAUAAGUUCUUCAUUUUUUCUAUUUUUAAUUUUUUGUGUAGAAAUCUUAAUUGAGAUUUUCUGGACAUUGUCACAUGACUUAUUUUCAUGGCCGAGUAUCUUUUGAUUCAUGGUUCAGGAUUUAAAACUAGCUUUAAUCUUAACUACUCAAAUUUCACAGCUGAGACUACUACAACCAACAUGUGAAUGGAAGAUUUGGAGUGUCGAGAGCAGAAGUCUUGUUUGUUUUUUAGAAUGGGAAUCCAACAUUGCUAUUUUCUCUGUCAUUAGUGGCUCUCACUAAUUAAUGUGUUAUCAUUAUUAUUUACUUUUAUUA